AAAGUUGGAUGGGGUGUCUAAAUAUUUCCAACAGGACGAGGGAGAAUUAACCCUCAAGUGAUGCAGGUAAUUAUCCAGUCAGUUCUGCAUUGCUACCGUAGUU
Rhizobiales bacterium TMED29 is the source of this 103-nucleotide non-coding RNA. Lineage: Bacteria; Pseudomonadati; Pseudomonadota; Alphaproteobacteria; Hyphomicrobiales. The record is from Rfam.